AUGGAUACAACUUUCCUUAUCCUGCCUAAAUGUGCACAGGCCAGUUUAAAAUCUAACUGUACACAGCCACAUCUUCCUUUUUCAUCUCUCAUUUAUUCCUUAAGUGGAUACAGACACCUCUUUGCUCUUCUCCCUCGUCUAGUUGAUUAUCCAAUCUUUAUAAAUCCUUCAUUUCCUCUCCAUCCCUUCCUACUAUUUCUUCAGGAUGCUGCUAUUUCUUCAGGAUGCUGCUAUUUCUUCAGGUAUGCUGCUGUCUCUCCAAUAUCUCUCCUUCUAAGUGAAUUAUAUCAGCUCAUAUAUCUUCAAGUUGAUGGAGGGCAAAUUGAUGCUCACCCACACCCUGUAUUCAGGUGGGACAAGAGGGAAAAGUGGAGACCUAGGCAGAGGGGAUCUAGAAGAAUGGAUGUAGACAGAAAGAUCAGGAACAGUUGGUUAUUUAUGUUUCAGAAAUGUGGAUGGAGGGGUCUGAUAUAACUGAUCUCUUAGAGGAAGACUUUCAGACCAAUGGGCUUCUUUGAAAACAUCUAUUUUCAGAUGUUUCAAGAUUGUUUCAAGGUUGUUUUAAUCUGUUUACUACUGAAAAUGUAAUCGUGAUCCUGCCAUGAUUCCUCAGGGUAAAGAGAGCUGUCAUGUGGGAGUGGCCAAGUAAAGAUUACGAUACACCACACCCCAACCCCUACCAACACCAAUUCCAUUGUGGAGAUCAUGGAGAAGCUGCUGAACUAAUAUAAGACCUGAGAGUGCUGGGCUGGUUGUGAGCUGGACCCACCUGGUUACUUGGUUGAUGACUCUGGAAGGCUCCAAACUACACUCAUGCUUGCAGGUUCGUAGUUUUAGGCUGUGCCUGGGAUGGGAAGAUGCCCAGGGCUUCUCCCAGGGCAGCUUACAUGGCUAUUCACCAUUGGGAAAUGGUGAAAUAAAUGACAUAUGAUGAAAUAAAGCAUACACACCAAGGAGCUCACUGAACUCCAAGAAAACUCAGAUAAACUACAAAACAAGUUCAGGAAGAAAAUAUAUGAACAAAAUAAGAUUAAAAAAUAUUUCUCAUCAUCAUUAUUAUUCUUUCUAAUUUUUGGUUGCAUUGGGUCUUUGUUGCUGCAUAUGGGCUUUCUCUAGUUGCAGCAAGCAAGCACCACUCUUAUUUGUGGAGAGCAGGCUUCUCUAUGCACAGGCUUCUCUUAUGUGGAGAAUAGGCUCUAGGUACCUGGGCUUCAGGGGUUGCAGCAGGCUGCCUCCUAUUUGUGGUUUGCAGGUCCUAGAGCUCAGGCUCAGUAAUUGUUGAGCUAGGGUGAGUUAUUCUUUAGAAUAAAUUCAGAUUUUUUUUUACGGAGAUAGAAAUCAUAAAAAAGGAAGUAAACAGGGAGUUUGUUGAUGGUUUGGUGGUUAGGAUUUGAUGUAUUUACUGCUGUGGUCUGGAUUUAAUCCCGGUAAGGAACUGAGAUCCCUCAAGCUUUGCAGUGAGGCAAAGAGAAUAACAGAAGGAACCAAACAGAAAAAUGAACCAAACAAAUUUAGUUGCUUAAGAUUCAGUUCAGUUCAGUCCAGUGGCUCAGUCGUGUCUGACUUUUUGUGACCCCAUGGACUGCAGCAUACCAGGCUACCCUGUCCUUCACCAACUCCUGGAGCUUGCUCAAACUCAUGUCCAUUCAGUCAGUGAUGCCAUCCAACCAUCUCAUCCUCUGUCAUCCCCUUCUUCUCCUGCCCUCAAUCUUUACCAGCAUCAGGGUCUUUUCCAAUGAGUCAGUUCUUUGGAUUAGGUGGUCAAAGUAUUGGAGUUUCAGCUUCAGCAUCAGUCCUUCCAAUGAAUAUUCAGGACUGAUUUCCUUUAGGAUUGACUGGUUGGAUCAGUUGCUUAAGAUUACAAUGAUUGAAAUGCAGCAAAAUGAAAAAUGCUGCAGAGAACAUCAACAACAGCAGAAGACUUUGUAACUUAAAAGGCAGGACUAUUGAGGUUAUCUAGCCAGGGGACAAAGAAGAAAAUUAUUGAACAAGUGUGAAAGAACCUGUGUGAAUGAUGGGGUAACAUUUACAGAAACAACUCGUACAUUAUUGGAGUCCCGGAAGGAGAAGAGAGGGAGAAAGGGACAGAGACUGUACUUAAAGAAGCAAUAGCAGAUAAGUCCCAAAUCUGAUGAGAUUUAGACAUCCAAGUUCAUGUAGCUAAUAGCUCACUCCUCAGAGUUCAUUCAAAAUGAUCAUCCCCAA
Long non-coding RNA from Bos grunniens (domestic yak), 2205 nucleotides. The record is from Ensembl. NCBI's taxonomy places the organism in Eukaryota, Metazoa, Chordata, Mammalia, Artiodactyla, Bovidae.